This 477-nucleotide ribosomal RNA is filed under the name Austropotamobius torrentium (stone crayfish). RNAcentral describes it as "partial 16S ribosomal RNA". It matches the Rfam family "Bacterial large subunit ribosomal RNA", at positions 1857 to 2599 of the family's 2925-position model. The record is from RNAcentral. Lineage: Eukaryota; Metazoa; Arthropoda; Malacostraca; Decapoda; Astacidae.
ACCUGCCCAUUGAGAUUUAAAAGGCCGCGGUAUUAUGACCGUGCUAAGGUAGCAUAAUCAUUAGUCUUUUAAUUGGAGGCUGGAAUGAAUGGUCGGACAAGAGAUAAGCUGUCUUAAGUAAAAAUAUUGAAUUUAACUUUUAAGUGAAAAGGCUUAAAUUUUCUAGGGGGACGAUAAGACCCUAUAAAACUUUAUAUUUUGAAAUAAUAAUUAAUUUUAUAUGGGAGUUUUAUUUUUAAAUAUUUUAUUGGGGUGAUAGGGAUAAAAUAACAAAUAACUGUCUUUUUUUUUAUUACAAUAAUAUUUGAGCAAAUGAACCUAGUAAGGGAAAGAAGAUUAAGUUACUUUAGGGAUAACAGCGUAAUUUUUUUUAAGAGUUCUUAUCGACAAGAAAGUUUGCGACCUCGAUGUUGAAUUAAAAGUUCUUUAUAGAGCAGAAACUAUAAAAGAAGGUCUGUUCGACCUUUAAAAUUUUAC